CUACGGGAGGCUCCAGUGGGGAAUAUUGCACAAUGGAGGAAACUCUGAUGCAGCAACGCCGCGUGGAGGAUGACACUUUUCGGAGCGUAAACUCCUUUUAUAUAGGAAGAAGAUGACGGUACUAUAUGAAUAAGCGCCGGCUAACUCCGUGCCAGCAGCCGCGGUAAUACGGAGGGCGCAAGCGUUACUCGGAAUCACCGGGCGUAAAGAGCGUGUAGGCGGAUUAAAAAGUCAGAAGUGAAAUCCUAUAGCUUAACUAUAGAACUGCUUCUGAAACCCUUAAUCUAGAAUGUGGGAGAGGUAGAUGGAAUUUCUGGUGUAGGGGUAAAAUCCGUAGAGAUCAGAAGGAAUACCGAUUGCGAAGGCGAUCUACUAGAACAUUAUUGACGCUGAGACGCGAAAGCGUGGGGAGCAAACAGGAUUAGAUACCCGGGUAGUC
This 439-nucleotide ribosomal RNA is filed under the name uncultured bacterium. Its description in RNAcentral is "partial 16S ribosomal RNA". It matches the Rfam family "Bacterial small subunit ribosomal RNA", at positions 339 to 795 of the family's 1533-position model. The record is from RNAcentral.